AAUAGUUCUGGACCCACUUCAGUCACACCUUGGGUGCAAAAAGUUGAGUUUUUCCUGGUUGUACUGUAAUUUGUAUAGUAAAGAGAAACAAAAGCUUCAAUGGGAAAAAGAAAGACGAAGGUGAAGACAAAGUCUUUUGUGACUUUGUGAGCAUUCGCUAGACAACAAGUCUAAGUCCCUAGAGAUGAUUUUGGACCUCAAGAAUUCCAAGUCUUCAGUCAAAAGUUCAUGUUCUCAUACUGUAAGUACUUGAAAGUUCUAGUCUUUCAGUAAUUUUAUAGAGACAACAAGUCAUGAUUCAUUUUUUAACUUUUUUUAAUCUUCUGUUCUGAGUAACUCUAUUAUAUUUGAAAAAUAAGUGUUGGUUAAUAUGCAAUAUUGUAGUUUUGAAUUGCAUUGUGUGCACCUACAUGACUUGUGUAGUUUAUUAACUUAUUUGAUAGUUAUGUUAGAGAUAUUCUCCAUCACAAUCUGUCAAUGUAGUUCAAUCAAUCACCAAUCUCCAGCUCAAAUCUGACCAGUACACAACAUGUGUCACCCCUGUUGUUCUUUGAAUUAGCUCCUCCCAAUCGUAUCUUUCCCGAGAUGAAAGAAAAGAUUGACAAUUUUCCAUAAUGUCUCAAAACAAGGAGGCCAUUAAGAAAGUUGUCGAUAUGAUAAACAUGUGCUCAAAAAGACCUCCUAAACCCCCCGCCAAGCAAUCAGGUUUUUUCUUUCUUAGAAUUAGAAGAGAAGGAUUGAAAUGGCUGUUUCAAACUUAACGUCGUACCUGCCUAUUCAUCUCGAGCUAAAAUCUAUUUCGUUAGGUGUAAAGAAGAAGCUACACAAUGAAUAUUCAGUCAAUAAAGAAAUCUAUUCAAGUGGAGUCAAUGCAACAAUAUCAAGAGGGAAAAACUUACAUGAUGUCUGCACCAUACUAAGAAAUUUAACAUUAGGAGUUACAAAUUUAGGAGAAAAUACAUAUUAGUUAACAGUUAACACUGAUUCCGGGUAAGCUUUAUCUGUACCAAAAGAUAUGGAACUCUUUUAUCUUGUUAUAAAUAGCUAUAUUUACCUUUAUUUGUUAUGCAUUUCUCACUACGAGGAUACUGAUAAUAUACAUUUAAGUGUUCCUUAUUUAGAAUAAGUUUCUUUAAUAUCCAUGUAUUUGUAGAUAUAUGACUAUCAGUAGCUAAUUUAUUCCAAAUAUAUCUUGUGAAAGCAUAGCUUUUGAUUUUUUAAAAUUAAAUUUAAAAAUGAAUUAGGGAGUGAAAUUACUUAGUACUAAGUGAUUAGUCUCAGCCUACUUUCUAGAGAAGUUGGAAACUGUAUUCAACUCCAUAUUAUCGUUGGACAUUAAUUUGGCCUAGGCUAGCAUCCCACAGAAUUUAUCAGUUUUAUAUUGAGUUAAUAUCUCAAAAUGUCACUCAACUUUUAGAAUUUAUCUAGUAAAGUCAUUAAACUUUGUUUUGUAUCAAUAAAAUCACUCAACUUAGAUUUAUGUACCAAUAAAAUCACUCAACUUAGACUUAUUGAUACAAAAUAAAGUUCAAUGACUUUGCUAGAUAAAUUCUCAAAGCUGAAUGAUCUUUUGAGAUAUUAACUCGUUUUAUAUUGCACUAAACAAAGGGAAAACAUACUUAGAUAGUUUUAAUUUGACUGCUUUUCGUAGCUAAUCGGGGUCUACCUUAGCUUGACUCUCAUCCUAGAGUUCAUAUGAAGACACGGGUGCAUUGUGUAUGAUAAGAUCCCCCUAAUAAGUGUUGGAAGUCAGAUAGUGUACUUGAUGAUUGAAGGAGUAGGUGUUUACGGAACUCUUUUUUUUUUUUUUUUGGUUAUAAAUAGUUGUUUUCCUCUUUAUUGGUUUUGCGUUGCUCACUAUGAGGACACCGAUAUCAAUUUAAAUGAUUUUUAUUUAUGAAAAGUUUCCUUUAUAUCCAUUUAUUAACCAUCAAUAGUUUACUUAUUUCGAACAUAUAGAUAUGUUCCAAACAAAAGUUUAUUUUUUGGUUAAAAAAGAACUUUCAGGGAGUGAGAAUUACUCGAAAUAGUACGUAAUUGGUCUCUAUGAAGAGGUUUUCUUGCUACGCCCCAACCUAUGUCUAGAAAAGUUGGAUAGUACAUUGAACUCCAUGUUAUCAGUUGUACAUUUGUUUUACCUAAUUGGAAGAAAUUAUUUUCUAGCAUCUCAUGCUAUUUUAACAUUUUUAUAUUCCAUUAAAUAAGGAAAACUUUGAUAGCUUUGAAUUGACCGCUUCUCAUAGUUAAUCUGAUGAUGAGUUCACCUUGGUUCUCAUCCUAGUUAUUAAGACUCUGGUGGUUCUUUGUGUAUGAUAAGUCCUUCAUAAGGACCAAAGAUCAAUGAUGAAAAGUCAACAGUGUACUCAAUGAUCAAAGAAGCUAUUGACUUGCGAUAACUUUAAUUAUCAAGUACAUUAUUGAUCACUAGGCCACACUAGUAAAUUACUGUGAUUUGGUGUCAAUAGCGAGUAUGAAUAAAAUUUUACCCAUUCAUAAUUCUUCCUUGGAUAAUGUGAGCAGAGAACUAUAAAAUAUUACUUUAUAAAACAUGAGAAUUAUUCCUCAUGAUCAAGAAGAAAUGAUAGAUGUGUUUUUUUUUUUGUACAUAGUCAGCAUAUUUGGGGGAGGGGGGAGGGGGUUUCUGUUGUGAUCUGUUAUUUAUAGGUAAACACUUUAUAAAAAAUUGCAACAAUUCAUGUUGCUUCUAAAGUCAUUGCAGAUGUGGCAGCAUCUUUUGAUAGAUACCAAUGUCCAUUCCAUGGUAAGCAAGUGGUGCAUACAUCCAAAGUUCAUCUGAGCUCAGUAACUGUAGAAAUGGAAGAAAUAUUUAGUAAAUUAUGUUAUUCUCCGUCCGGUAUUCAACCAAAGCAAAUUAAGAAAAGGAAAAAAAAUGAUAUGUGAAGGCUUAUACCUUAAUUUGAAGCUGCAAAAACUUCACAUAAGUAACUGCUUCUUCAAGCAUUGUGCUAAUGUCAACCUGAUGUAUAGCAAAAAAGAGGGGAAAAAUCGAUUAGAGGAUUUAUUUUAUCAAUCGUUAAGAUGAAGUAUUAUGAUUUUAAGUAUUGUUACCUUUGUGCCAUUAGGAACAAGGUUCUGCAAGAUUCUCAAUCUUUCAUUGAUUCUUUCUCUUCUUCUCUGCAAUUUUCGCAAAUGGAAAUACUAGUUAACAUUUUGAAUCUACGAACAAGUUAUUAUUGAACAAUAAACGAAUGAUGCUGGUGUUAAUUAUUAUUACCCUUGCAUAAAGGCUUUGUGGAUCUGUUGCAGCUCCUCUGCUAGCUCUUGACUUUCCUUUGGUGUUUGAAGAUACCGUGCCUCCAUUUAGUUCUUGAGAUGCAUUAGAAUCAUCCUCAGAGCUGCAGCAACUUGAGCUUUGUGCAAUUUGGUUAUCUGCAUUGUUGUUAGUCUCUUCUUCUCCUUCUUCAUUGUUAAUUUGAGUCAUUUUCUGAUUCUUUUUCCCCCUUUUUGGCUGUGCCUUUUUCUUAGUACUUUUCUGUGCCUGCAUUGAGUAAAUGGUAGAAUCCCAUUAGUAUAAAAAGAAGAUGUUAUUCUAUCACGCUUGUUAAAGUUCUAAUUUAACUCACAUCUUGUGAACCCCGCGAUUUCUUCUUGGGAUUUUCAGGUGCUAUUUUGUCACACUUCCUUUUUAACUGCAUUUCCUUGUCUGAAACAGGGGAAAUUCCAGCAUUGUCCAAUUGAUCACAUACCAUUUCAUCUUUGUAGGUCAUGUCAGCUUGAAAAUCUUGAUUAAUACACAAAUUUUCAAGAUUUUUACUGUCCAUAUCGAAGAAAUCAAUGGACUGAUACUCAUCAGGAAGGUUGUUGUUGAUUGCUACUUGAAGGAGCUGGUUAUUAACAUCAUCA
RNAcentral lists this long non-coding RNA (3864 nucleotides) under Solanum tuberosum (potato). Its description in RNAcentral is "long non-coding RNA (STUB_LNC005206)". The record is from RNAcentral. Lineage: Eukaryota; Viridiplantae; Streptophyta; Magnoliopsida; Solanales; Solanaceae.